AGCGGCGGACGGGUGAGUAACGCGUGGGUAACCUGCCUCAUACAGGGGGAUAACAGUUGGAAACGGCUGCUAAUACCGCAUAAGCGCACAGUACCGCAUGGUAUGGUGUGAAAAACUCCGGUGGUAUGAGAUGGACCCGCGUCUGAUUAGGUAGUUGGUGGGGUAACGGCCUACCAAGCCGACGAUCAGUAGCCGACCUGAGAGGGUGACCGGCCACAUUGGGACUGAGACACGGCCCAA
This 240-nucleotide ribosomal RNA is filed under the name uncultured bacterium. RNAcentral describes it as "partial 16S ribosomal RNA". It matches the Rfam family "Bacterial small subunit ribosomal RNA", at positions 94 to 334 of the family's 1533-position model. The record is from RNAcentral.